CCUUUAUCUAUGGGCGUGGGAACCUUCGUAUAAUUUUGCAAACGUUUUAUUCGUUGUGUUUGUAUUUUGGGGUAAACCGUGACCCGUGAGUUCUUGUGGAACCCCAAAAAUUUACAGUUGAUUAAGAAAAUGACCUCUAAUGGACAAGAAAAGUUAGUUACAUGUCCAUUCAAUAAACAACACGUUUUCGUAGAAAGCCGAUUACAACCACAUAUAAUUAAGUGCAUGAAAAACCACCCUAAUCAUUAUAGUUGUCUGUACAAUAAUCUGCAUAAAUUUUUGCACGAGCAAGACUUUCAAAAUCAUAUGCUCACUUGUCCAAACAAGACUAUUUUGUUUAAGUGGCGUUACAAUAGGCCUGGACAGCAUGGUGACCUGAGUGAGGCUCCUUAUCACUUGGAUAAUGUGCGUAAUAUCAACUUUAAAUAUGAGAACUGGGAAAUGGAAUAUAAUUAAGCUGAUAUCAUCAAAGGGUUGUCAGUUUUAUAAUUAUUCUCAUCUUUGUUUAAAAAGAUGAAAACAUUUUUUACAUGUUGUAAUGCAAAAAGUACCACUUUAUAUCAAAAAUUGAAACCUUGAUUUAGACUGUGUUAUGGUUUAAUGUGAUAAUCACAAUUACCAACUAAAAUUUAUAAUCUGUUAUGUUUAGCAUACCAUAAAAUCUGACAA
Molecule: long non-coding RNA, 669 nt
Organism: Agrilus planipennis (emerald ash borer)
Lineage: Eukaryota; Metazoa; Arthropoda; Insecta; Coleoptera; Buprestidae
Exons: 2
Source: RefSeq, a predicted model, not a curated record